RNAcentral lists this ribosomal RNA (274 nucleotides) under uncultured bacterium. Its description in RNAcentral is "partial 16S ribosomal RNA". It matches the Rfam family "Bacterial small subunit ribosomal RNA", at positions 524 to 796 of the family's 1533-position model. The record is from RNAcentral.
UACGGAGGGUGCAAGCGUUAAUCGGAAUUACUGGGCGUAAAGCGCGCGUAGGCGGUUUGUUAAGUCAGAUGUGAAAGCCCAGGGCUCAACCUUGGAACUGCAUCUGAUACUGGCAGGCUAGAGUACAGGAGAGGGAAGUGGAAUUUCAGGUGUAGCGGUGAAAUGCGUAGAGAUAGGAAGGAACACCAGUGGCGAAGGCGGCACUCUGGACCAAUACUGACACUGAGGUGCGAAAGCGUGGGGAGCAAACAGGAUUAGAUACCCCGGGUAGUCC